AGUGGCGCACGGGUGCGUAACACGUAUGCAAUCUGCCCCUAACAGGGGAAUAGCCCGGCGAAAGUCGGAUUAAUACCCCAUAACAAUGUGAAUCGGCAUCGGUUUAUAUUUAAAGCUCCGGCGGUUAGGGAUGAGCAUGCGCGACAUUAGCUAGAUGGCGGGGUAACGGCCCACCAUGGCUACGAUGUCUAGGGGGUCUGAGAGGAUUUUCCCCCACACUGGUACUGAGACACGGACCAGACUCCUACGGGAGGCAGCAGUAGGGAAUAUUGGGCAAUGGACGCAAGUCUGACCCAGCCAUGCCGCGUGAAGGACGAAGGCCCUAUGGGUUGUAAACUUCUUUUGUACGGGAAGAAACCCCUCUACGUGUAGGGGGCUGACGGUACCGUAAGAAUAAGGAUCGGCUAACUCCGUGCCAGCAGCCGCGGUAAUACGGAGGAUCCAAGCGUUGUCCGGAUUUAUUGGGUUUAAAGGGUGCGUAGGCGGAUUACUAAGUCAGAGGUGAAAGUUUGCAGCUUAACUGUAAAAUUGCCUUUGAAACUGGUAGUUUUGAGUAUAGUUGAGGUGGGCGGAAUGUGUCAUGUAGCGGUGAAAUGCUUAGAUAUGAUACAGAACACCGAUUGCGAAGGCAGCUCACUAAACUGUAACUGACGCUGAGGCACGAAAGCGUGGGGAGCAAACAGGAUUAGAUACCCUGGUAGUCCACGCCCUAAACGUUGAAUACUCGUUGUUGGCG
Molecule: ribosomal RNA, 736 nt
Filed under: uncultured Pedobacter sp.
Lineage: Bacteria; Pseudomonadati; Bacteroidota; Sphingobacteriia; Sphingobacteriales; Sphingobacteriaceae
Description: bacterial SSU rRNA
Rfam family: Bacterial small subunit ribosomal RNA
Source: RNAcentral